GCCCAGCCGUAAACUUUUACUUACAUUACAUCGCCAGGGAACUACGAGCCAAGCUUAAAACCCAAAGGACUUGACGGUACCCCAUAUCCCCCUAGAGGAGCCUGUCCUAUAAUCGAUAACCCACGUUUAACCUCACCAUUUUUAGUUAUCAGCCUGUAUACCUCCGUCGUCAGCUUACCACGUGAGCGCCAAUUAGUGAGCUUAAUGUUAUUUCACCAGUACGUCAGGUCAAGGUGCAGCAAAUAAAAUGGGAAGAGAUGGGCUACACUCUCUAUAUUAGAAAAAACGAAAAACUACCUAUGAAACCUAGUUAGAAGGCGGAUUUAGCAGUAAAAAGGAAUCAGCAUGUCCAUUUUAACCCGGCACUGGGGUGUGU
Molecule: ribosomal RNA, 376 nt
Filed under: Bufo pageoti (Tonkin toad)
Lineage: Eukaryota; Metazoa; Chordata; Amphibia; Anura; Bufonidae
Description: partial 12S ribosomal RNA
Rfam family: Bacterial small subunit ribosomal RNA
Source: RNAcentral